UGAACUGAAAAGAUACCGAGUGCUUCAAAAGACUUUUUUUCUUGCAGAUCCUUCCAAUUUCCUUCUUGUAGCACGAAAUCUCGUUCUUGCAGGUUCAUCAAAUAUUUACAACGAGCUUCAUUAUGUUUUUAAGAAUGGUAAACUUCUAUCUGCGGAAUAGUCAUUAAUUUUCCGCAAAUUAACCGCACUGGAAUCGAGGUGUGCAAUUAAAAUUAUCAGUUUCAUUGGUUCGUGGAUCUUUGGGAACGCGUCUGGAAAGGAAAGCACGAACAGGACAGGUGUAUAUCUAUAUAGCUGAAGGAUAAUUCACGACUCGAGGCAUCAUGUAUUCGCUGAGCAGGUCGGGGGUGUAAUUUGCGGGUUGUAAUACCAAGCGCAUCGUUUGUAACCCGCUCGCGACAGGAAGCCAGGUACACGAAUGGAAAGGGGUGUGAGAAACAUCCCAGAGAACUAUGUAACCACAUCGUCUUAUCGGCCGUAUGGCUCCCACUGGGCACGAAGUAAAAAAGAUUUCCAACAAGAAGCAGAAGAAAAAGGGGAUGAGGAGAAAGAAAAUUCCAAUACUUGAAUGAAGAUUUAUCCAAGGACGCAAGGAAACAAGUAACUUUUUCCAAAUGUUUCCUAUUUCUUGAAUAAUGAAUUUUGAAAUAUUUCCAAAAUGAGAGGAAAUAAAGGAGGCGUUUAAUAAUGCAGGAAUCUUCUAAAAAGAGAGAAGAAGAAUGAGAAACUUUUAUCGGAGAAAAUCGGCUUGGCCGACAUUUAUGAAGUUCGCGGGCGUCUUUUCUUUCCAGACAGGUACCGCUCACUAUUCUCUGGGGACGAGUCGCAUGAAGCGUCAAAAAAAAUGUAGCAUUCGUAUAUAUGUAUAUGGUAUCCAAAAAGUUGAAACUACCUUCUUGUACGGAUGGUUUUGCACGGAUAUUCACAUAGUGAAAAGUUUGUGAGUGUCGAGGAGAGAGAGAGAGAGAGAGAGAAAGAAGGGAAAAAAAGAAAGAAGGAAGAAGUGGUGAGAGUAGGCGAUUCCGAGGCCAUGGAAUAGGGGGUUAACUCGUCCCCAAAGUGCAGUAACCUCAGCGAAGAGACUCACCUUCUCGCAGCACUACUCAAGCCGCCAGAGGACCUUAUGACCCGUGCAAAAUGUAUACCCUGUCCUCAUCCUCAUGCUCUCGACCCGGAUAAAUCGAGCUCAGAAUUUCAUUUCGUAUCACACUUUCUUCAUCCUCCGC
Molecule: long non-coding RNA, 1226 nt
Organism: Leptopilina heterotoma
Lineage: Eukaryota; Metazoa; Arthropoda; Insecta; Hymenoptera; Figitidae
Exons: 3
Source: RefSeq, a predicted model, not a curated record